This 71-nucleotide transfer RNA is filed under the name Loxodonta africana (African savanna elephant). It matches the Rfam family "tRNA". From Rfam's summary of the family: Transfer RNA (tRNA) molecules are approximately 80 nucleotides in length. The record is from Rfam by way of RNAcentral. Lineage: Eukaryota; Metazoa; Chordata; Mammalia; Proboscidea; Elephantidae.
GCAGUGGUAGUUCGGUGGUAGAAUUCUCACCUUUCAUGUGGGAGACAUGGGUUCAAUUCCCGGCCAAUGCA